ACGUAGGGGGCGAGCGUUAUUCGGAAUUACUGGGUGUAAAGGGUAUGUACGCGGCCCUUCAAGUCGCGUGUCAAAGUCCAGUGCUCAACGCUGGGUGUGCGCGCGAUACUGACGGGCUUGAGGGCUGGAGAGGUGAGCGGAAUUCCCGGUGUAGGGGUGAAAUCCGUAGAGAUCGGGAGGAACACCUGCGGCGAAGGCGGCUCACCAGACAGAUUCUGACGCUAAGAUACGAAAGCGUGGGGAGCGAACAG
This 251-nucleotide ribosomal RNA is filed under the name uncultured prokaryote. Its description in RNAcentral is "partial 16S rRNA". It matches the Rfam family "Bacterial small subunit ribosomal RNA", at positions 525 to 775 of the family's 1533-position model. The record is from RNAcentral.